UUCGGGCCUUGCGCUAUCAGAUGAGCCUAGGUCUUAAUUAGCUAGUUGGUGGGGUAAUGGCUCACCAAGGCGACGAUCCGUAACUGGUCUGAGAGGAUGAUCAGUCACACUGGAACUGAGACACGGUCCAGACUCCUACGGGAGGCAGCAGUGGGGAAUAUUGGACAAUGGGCGAAAGCCUGAUCCAGCCAUGCCGCGUGUGUGAAGAAGGUCUUCGGAUUGUAAAGCACUUUAAGUUGGGAGGAAGGGCAGUAAGCUAAUACCUUGCUGUUUUGACGUUACCGACAGAAUAAGCACCGGCUAACUCUGUGCCAGCAGCCGCGGUAAUACAGAGGGUGCAAGCGUUAAUCGGAAUUACUGGGCGUAAAGCGCGCGUAGGUGG
Molecule: ribosomal RNA, 382 nt
Filed under: Pseudomonas plecoglossicida
Lineage: Bacteria; Pseudomonadati; Pseudomonadota; Gammaproteobacteria; Pseudomonadales; Pseudomonadaceae
Description: bacterial SSU rRNA
Rfam family: Bacterial small subunit ribosomal RNA
Source: RNAcentral